This is a long non-coding RNA of Mytilus californianus (California mussel), 2454 nucleotides long. RefSeq lists it as uncharacterized. The record is from RefSeq and is a predicted model, not a curated record. The transcript has 3 exons. Lineage: Eukaryota; Metazoa; Mollusca; Bivalvia; Mytilida; Mytilidae.
UCAUUUUUUUCUUGUGAUGUUUUAUUUUCUGAAAUAUAGCCAAUUCCACUUGUUAACAUGGAAAACACGACAUGUGUCAAUAACUCUCAACAUCCGAGUUAAUUCUGAUUUAUUUGGAUCAUUUUCCCUUUUUUUUAACAAUUACGAACUUUUGUCAUGAGGAAAGGUUUGUUUUCUACUCUGAACAUCUGAGUCCGUUCCCCAGCUUUAUUUUAUAACAAACCUUUGUCAUGAGGUAAGGUUUGUUUUCUACUCUGAGUCCGUUCCCCACCUUUAUUUUAUAACAAACCUUUGUCAUGAGGAAAGGUUUGUUUUCUACUCUGAGUCCGUUCCCCAGCUUUAUUUUAUAACACACCUUUGUCAUGAGGAAAGGUUUGUUUUCUACUCUGAGUCCGUUCCCCAGCUUUAUUUUAUAACAAACCUUUGUCAUGAGGAAAGGUUUGUUUUCUACUCUGAGUCCGUUCCCCAGCUUUAUUUUAUAACAAACCUUUGUCAUGAGGAAAGGUUUGUUUUCUACUCUGAGUCCGUUCCCCAGCUUUAUUUUAUAACAAACCUUUGUCAUGAGGAAAGGUUUGUUUUCUACUCUGAGUCCGUUCCCCAGCUUUAUUUUAUAACAAACCUUUGUCAUGAGGAAAGGUUUGUUUUCUACUCUGAGUCCGUUCCCCAGCUUUAUUUGGAUCAUUUUUGCUUUUUUUCCCCAACCACGAACUGCUGUCAUGAAGAACGGUUUGUAUUCUACUCUGAACAUCUGAGUCCGUUCUCCAUGUUUAUUUGGAUCAUUUUCCUUUUUUCUACCAAUCACGAACUUAAUUUUGUCACGAGGAAAGUUCUGUUUUCUACUCUGAACAUCUGAAGCGUUCCCCAUCUUUAUUUGGAUCAUUUUUUUCUGGUUUUUUUUAUCAAUCACGAACUUCUGUCACGAGGAAAGGUUUGUUUUCUAAUCUGAACAUCUCUUUUUUUUUGGAUCAGGUUCGUUAUUGUUUAUAACAAUCAUUGUCCUUUUUCAUUAAGAAUAUGAAACACUUAUGAACCACAUCAACAAACGACAACACUGAACAUCAGGUUCCUGACUUGGGACAGGUGCAAACAAAUGCAGCGGGUUUAAACGUUUUAAUAGGUACCAACAUUCACCUUUACCUGAAACAAAAGUGUAACAUCACAACAUAGAAAGCAAACAAAGGUUUGUUUUCUAUUCUGAACAUCUGAGUCCGUUCUCAGUCUUUAUUAGGACCAUGUUCCUUAUUGUUUCAAUCUUUCAUGGUCCUUUGUCAUGAAUCACGGUUUGUUUUCAACUUUGAACAUCUGAGUCCGUUCUCAGUCUUUAUUAGGACCAUGUUCCUUAUUGUUUCAAUCUUUCAUGGUCCUUUGUCAUGAAUCACGGUUUGUUUUCAACUUUGAACAUCUUAGUCCGUUCUCAGUCUAUAUUAGGAUCAUUCUAUCUUUUGUUUCUAUCGAUUGUGGUCUUGUCAUGAAGACAUUUUAUUUUCCCAUGUCAUGCGGUUAAAGCAUUAUCAAUGGUUUAAAUAUAUGAGAAUUAUCGAUGGUAUUAAUUGAGCGACAACUAUCUGUCUGUCAUUUUAUCACCACUUCAGUUUAAGAUACAUUACCUAAUGUCUAAAUGCUUUUUCUGUGUCAACCAUUAACAAAAGUGUUUUGAAAAUACCAAUUAUCUGGUGUUUUUUUGCAUAAUAAUACUGUUAAUUAUUCAAGUCACAAGAAGAAGUUGAAAUUGAUGGAAGAAAAUAACAAAUGUUUGGGUCGAGAAUUUUCAUGAUUGAAAAUUUUUUUUCUAGAGGUAAUUUGUGUGUAAACUGGAACACUGACUCACAAACUUUUCAUAAAAUUCCGAAGUAUUAACCUGCCAGUUUAUACGUCAAUACCCUCUAGAAAACAUAUUAUUAAUUCUGUAAUAGCAAAAUGUCUUGAUAAUUGAUUUUCGGAUUGUGUUAGUGUGUUUUUCGUGAUUUCAACUGCAAACCGGUUUAAACAUUAUGAAGUUGAAUGUAUUUCCGGGUAAAUCCCAAGUUUGUGUAGACGUUUCUAUUUAUAUUCGAACAUAGAGAGGUCCCUAUCAAUCUUUAUACAUAAAAUCCAUGUUUGUCCAUACGUAAGAUAAAGGUUAUUAUUCAAAACUGUACCAGAUCAACGCUUAAUCAACGCAACAAAUAACAAACUAUUGGAAAACUAGAACAUUCAAAUAGAUUAUUCGACAAUUAAAUAACUGGUAUGAUCAAAUGAAACGUCUAUACUUUCUUCUAUGGAACGCCAUGACUGCCUUAUGUUGAUGAUCAUCAUUAUAUGCAGUGGUCACAGCAUUAUAUGCAGUGGUCACAGCAUUAAAUGCAGCCGUGACAGCAUUAUAUGCAGUGGUCACAAAAUUAUAUGCAGUUGUUACAACAUUAUAUGCAGUGGUCACACCAUUAUAUACAGUCGUGGCAAUAUUAUAUGCAGUGG